CAGGAAGCGUGGCUUGUCGCUCUUUGCCUCGGCAAAGGGAGGAAAGUCCGGACACCACAGAGCAGCAAAGCGGGUAACACCCGUCAUCCGCGUCCUUGAGGCGGAGAGGACCAGUGCAACAGAAAGGAUGUAUAUUAAGUUAUAGUGAAAUCAGGUAAACUCUUUGCGGUGCAAUGCUAAGUAUAUCGGACUGCCCGGUUCGCCAGGCUAGGAGUGGCUCGCUCCAAAAACCGAGGGGUAAGCAGCUACAUCCCGUUGGUAACAACGGGGGCAGAUAAAUGACAGGCAACCGGCUCCGGCCGGCCUACAGAAUCCGGCUUACAGCGCUUCCUGUGGU
RNAcentral lists this RNase P RNA (337 nucleotides) under Chryseobacterium sp. RNAcentral describes it as "RNase P RNA component class A". It matches the Rfam family "Bacterial RNase P class A". From Rfam's summary of the family: Ribonuclease P (RNase P) is a ubiquitous endoribonuclease, found in archaea, bacteria and eukarya as well as chloroplasts and mitochondria. Its best characterised activity is the generation of mature 5'-ends of tRNAs by cleaving the 5'-leader elements of precursor-tRNAs. Lineage: Bacteria; Pseudomonadati; Bacteroidota; Flavobacteriia; Flavobacteriales; Weeksellaceae. The record is from RNAcentral.